Molecule: ribosomal RNA, 409 nt
Filed under: uncultured bacterium
Lineage: Bacteria
Description: bacterial SSU rRNA
Rfam family: Bacterial small subunit ribosomal RNA
Source: RNAcentral
UGGGCUCGAACGGCUGUGGACCGUCGGUGGAAACGCCGAUUUUCUCUUCGGAGACUGCAGUCGAGGUGCUGCAUGGCUGUCGUCAGCUCGUGUCGUGAGAUGUUGGGUUAAGUCCCGCAACGAGCGCAACCCUUGUCCUGUGUUGCCACUCCUUUAUUGGAAGCACUCUCAGGAGACCGCCAGCGACAAGCUGGAGGAAGGUGGGGAUGACGUCAAGUCAGCAUGGCCUUUAUGUCCAGGGCUACACACGUGCUACAAUGGCCGGUACAAAGCGUAGCCAAGUCGCGAGACGGAGCCAAUCGCAAAAAACCGGUCUCAGUUCGGAUUGCAGGCUGCAACUCGCCUGCAUGAAGCUGGAAUCGCUAGUAAUGGCGUAUCAGAAUGACGCCGUGAAUACGUUCCCGGGCCU